RNAcentral lists this ribosomal RNA (809 nucleotides) under Penicillium citrinum. RNAcentral's name for it is "SSU rRNA". It matches the Rfam family "Eukaryotic small subunit ribosomal RNA", at positions 48 to 856 of the family's 1831-position model. The record is from RNAcentral. Lineage: Eukaryota; Fungi; Ascomycota; Eurotiomycetes; Eurotiales; Aspergillaceae.
GCCCUACCCACGGUCCUUGUUUUUAAGGCCAUUUUUUAUACUGUGAAACUGCGAAUGGCUCAUUAAAUCAGUUAUCGUUUAUUUGAUAGUACCUUACUACAUGGAUACCUGUGGUAAUUCUAGAGCUAAUACAUGCUACAAACCCCGACUUCAGGAAGGGGUGUAUUUAUUAGAUAAAAAACCAACGCCCUUCGGGGCUCCUUGGUGAAUCAUAAUAACUUAACGAAUCGCAUGGCCUUGCGCCGGCGAUGGUUCAUUCAAAUUUCUGCCCUAUCAACUUUCGAUGGUAGGAUAGUGGCCUACCAUGGUGGCAACGGGUAACGGGGAAUUAGGGUUCGAUUCCGGAGAGGGAGCCUGAGAAACGGCUACCACAUCCAAGGAAGGCAGCAGGCGCGCAAAUUACCCAAUCCCGAUACGGGGAGGUAGUGACAAUAAAUACUGAUACGGGGCUCUUUCGGGUCUCGUAAUUGGAAUGAGAACAAUUUAAAUCCCUUAACGAGGAACAAUUGGAGGGCAAGUCUGGUGCCAGCAGCCGCGGUAAUUCCAGCUCCAAUAGCGUAUAUUAAAGUUGUUGCAGUUAAAAAGCUCGUAGUUGAACCUUGGGCCUGGCUGGCCGGUCCGCCUCACCGCGAGUACUGGUCCGGCUGGGCCUUUCCUUCUGGGGAACCUCAUGGCCUUCACUGGCUGUGGGGGGAACCAGGACUUUUACUGUGAAAAAAUUAGAGUGUUCAAAGCAAGCCUUUGCUCGAAUACAUUAGCAUGGAAUAAUAGAAUAGGACGUGCGGGUUCUAUUUUGUUGGGUUUCUAGG